UACAGAGGGUGCGAGCGUUAAUCGGAUUUACUGGGCGUAAAGGGUGCGUAGGUGGUUUGAUAAGUUAGGUGUGAAAUUCCCGGGCUUAACCUGGGGACUGCGCCUGAUACUGUCAAGCUAGAGUACUGUAGAGGAAAGUGGAAUUUCCGGUGUAGCGGUGAAAUGCGUAGAUAUCGGAAGGAACAUCAGUGGCGAAGGCGACUUUCUGGACAGAUACUGACACUGAGGCACGAAAGCGUGGGGAUCAAACAGG
This 253-nucleotide ribosomal RNA is filed under the name uncultured bacterium. RNAcentral describes it as "partial 16S ribosomal RNA". It matches the Rfam family "Bacterial small subunit ribosomal RNA", at positions 524 to 776 of the family's 1533-position model. The record is from RNAcentral.